Molecule: non-coding RNA, 45 nt
Filed under: Schistosoma mansoni
Lineage: Eukaryota; Metazoa; Platyhelminthes; Trematoda; Strigeidida; Schistosomatidae
Source: RNAcentral
GCACUACUGAGGAUCCCAUAAUAGGACGAAACGGCCGUCCAGUGC